Molecule: ribosomal RNA, 465 nt
Filed under: uncultured bacterium
Lineage: Bacteria
Description: partial 16S ribosomal RNA
Rfam family: Bacterial small subunit ribosomal RNA
Source: RNAcentral
GAUGAACGCUGGCGGCGUGCUUAACACAUGCAAGUCGAACGGAAAGGCCCAAGCUUGCUUGGGUACUCGAGUGGCGAACGGGUGAGUAACACGUGGGUAACCUGCCCUGCACUUCGGGAUAAGCCUGGGAAACUGGGGCUAAUACCGGAUAGGAGCACCUUCUGCAUGGUGGGGUUGAGAGUUUUUCGGUGGGGGAUGAACUAGCGGCUUAUAAUCUUGUUGUUGGGGUAAUGGCUUACCACGGCGUCGUCGGGUGGCCGGCCUGAGGGGAGGACCGGCAACAUUGGGACGGAGAUAGGGCCCAGACUCCUAGGGGAGGCAGCAGUGGGGAUAAUUCCACAAGGGGGCGAAGCCGGUGGAAGGAAGGCGGGGGGCGGGUGGCCGGCUUUCGGUUGUAAAAUCGUUUCGCUAUGUAAGGAACCUUAUGUGACGGUACCGGGUGAAGAAGCACCGGCUAACUACGUG